GCCGGAAUAGCUCAGUUGGUAGAGCAGGGGACUGAA
Molecule: transfer RNA, 36 nt
Filed under: Frullania junghuhniana
Lineage: Eukaryota; Viridiplantae; Streptophyta; Jungermanniopsida; Porellales; Frullaniaceae
Description: partial tRNA-Phe
Source: RNAcentral